CGGCAACAGUGAUGAGAGGAGUUGUGGCUGUAGGUAACGUCUCGUUACGGCAUGGAGACACCAGUCCCUCUAACCUGACGUUGCCG
Molecule: small nucleolar RNA, 86 nt
Filed under: Leptosomus discolor (cuckoo roller)
Lineage: Eukaryota; Metazoa; Chordata; Aves; Leptosomiformes; Leptosomidae
Description: Small nucleolar RNA SNORD127
Rfam family: Small nucleolar RNA SNORD127
Source: Rfam by way of RNAcentral